RNAcentral lists this ribosomal RNA (393 nucleotides) under Triticum aestivum (bread wheat). RNAcentral describes it as "partial small subunit ribosomal RNA". Lineage: Eukaryota; Viridiplantae; Streptophyta; Magnoliopsida; Poales; Poaceae. The record is from RNAcentral.
AUGUUCACGGCUUUCCAGGUGGACAAACAUACGUUCAAGGUGUGUUCUAUUUUGGGCAUGCCAGAUUCAGAACCUGAAGACUCGGACAAAGGAAGGAACUACUUCGUCAAAGCCUCGAUAGGCGAAGGCGAAUACUAUUGCCAAUGCUGCAAGUUUGAACGGGACGGUAUUGUGUGCUGUCACAUACUAAAAGUAAUGGACAUGAACGCUGUGACACGGAUGCCCCGCCAUUUCAUAAGAAGGCGAUGGACUUGGGACGCUGACGACGCAUUUGCGCCGCAGACAACAAACGCGGUUCUGGCUGUGCAUGACGAGAGACCUGAGGCGACCAUGAAAGCCAUGAGGCACGUUGUGCUGACAGAGAACUAUGCUGAGCUAAUUGAUGAAGCGUGA